AACCAAGGGCCCUCAGCUGCUCCUCAUACACCUUCCCCUCCAAACCCGUCACCAUCUCUGUAGCCCUCCUUUGGACACUCCCUAACAGUUUUAUAUCCUUCUCGUACUGUGGGGCCCAAAACUGCACACAGUACUCGAGGUGAGGCUGCACGAGCACAGAGCAGAGCAGGACAAACCCUUCCCUUAACCAGUUAGCAAUGCUGUGCUUGAUGCAUUCCAGGGUAAGGUUGGACCUUCUGACUGCCAGGGCACACUGCUGGUAUCCCCAAGCCAGCCACAUGGUGGUAUAACAUCUAUAACCAUGGACAGACCCAAGUAGGAUACACUGGUGAGUGGAUCUGAGUAAGUGGAAGAAGGGCAAGAAACAGAUUAAAUUUCGAACUGAAUGAGUGAGUCCAUGCCAUUAAGUAAUUUAGAGGGAUUAUAUCCAUCCCACAAGCUUCUGAGUAUGCAGAAUUAGUUCCAUCCAAAACAGUCACCCCUGAGUUUUUGGAACAGUUUGCUUCAAGCAACACCCUACUGGCCCACUGAGUAAGCUCCUCCUUUCCUGGAGUCCUCCUCCCCCAUCCAAGCAAUGCUGCAUUUGGACCCUCAGGCACCAAAAUACACCGCCACCAUCACUCAGCCAUGCAACGUGCACCUCAGCUUCCUACUUGAAUGAACUACAGCACAGCACCAUCGCAUCAGACGUUGAGAGAACACACACACGUUACGGCACUACACCAGUGAUGGAGAAGAUGCAGUGUGGGUGCCACCAGGCUAGAGGAGACAGCCCUAAGCAGCGUGUGAAAUCUUCUAGUGGUGGUGCAGUGGCAAACAGUCACGUAUGAAACUUGGUAUCUGAAGUUGAGCUCCUGUAACUACUAUACAGCCAUCAUUUGAAGACUGCUACUAAGUGGUUAAGAGUUGAUUGAACCUUGAAAAGCUUAGUCCUGAAUUUUAGAGCUUGUCCUUCCUUAGGUCUCCUAUCUGGAAGUAAAUUUUCUAGAGAACAAGCCUCUACACAUUUAAAGAUACCUGUUUAUUUUUUCCUUUAAUCAACUUUAGCAAAUAAAAAUGAGAAGAGCAAUGCA
RNAcentral lists this long non-coding RNA (1073 nucleotides) under Anser cygnoides (Swan goose). Its description in RNAcentral is "lncRNA (ENSACDG00005006741.1)". Lineage: Eukaryota; Metazoa; Chordata; Aves; Anseriformes; Anatidae. The record is from RNAcentral.